GAGAGAAAAAAAUCAAAUCCUAAAACUAUUAUUUUUCUCUUCUCCAAUGCUUCCAAGAUUCCAUUUCUUGCAUCGGUAGCGCCGAUCAACUAGAUCUUUUCAUAUAAUCAUUGUUACCUUUCUAGAUUCCUAGUUUCUUUAUUGAUUUUUGAGUUCAUUGGAGUUUAAAACUCCCUUCUGCCUAUGGGCUCAGACUCUGUUGUACCAACAACCCUUCUUUAACAUUCUCCCGUCUUUGUUAACCACCCCUUCCAUUUCCUUUGGGACCUUCUCUAUCAAAUACAUCAGAGUGUUGUAUCUACGUCCUUUCGCUGCCAGCAUGUGCGCUGCUUCAUUGGCCUUCUGAGAUUUGAUUUUAUUGAUUACUGUUAAAGCAUCUCCUUCAAUGCUAACCUCUCAGAAUCCUAGUUCAUCAACAAAAAUGACCACCUAAAAACAUGCCCUUACUUCUGCCAUGGUUGGGUUUGUGACAUUCAACCACUAGAAUGAAAUUUGGAUGUCGUGUCUACAGUAUACCGACAGAAACACGACUAAUAGGGUCUCUAAAUUUUGCAACCCCGGACCAUCGUGCAAGAUACGACAACAUUCGAUAAUGACCACUCUCGGUCUGUAACGAAAUUGAUAUUUACACUCUUGAUAUGCUUAAUAUAUGGGAUGUUGUAUGAAUUAUUUUGAUGCUAUUGGUUGGAAUUCAUUUGCAAAUAUUUCAUGUGCUGUAUAUUAUGAAUUAAUCUAUGAGUUCUAUGGAACAUUUAGCUUCAAUAUUACUGCAUUGUGAACUGUUGAAACUCGAGAUGUUGUCUAUUUUUGUUUACUUGGUAAAUAUUUUAGGAUGUCGAUUUCAGAUUUUAACAUUGCCAUGGGUUUCGCUAACCCUGAUGGUGUUCAAACUAAUUCCUACCAUACUGCUUUAUUGGAUAUACCAAGUAAUUUCAAUGCCAAUGAUGCUUAUUCUUCUUUAACUCAAUCUAGGGAUCAUCUUUAUAAUCCCAAGACCUCUAAGGACUUGUUAGUGCAUGAACCAGCUUUAAGGUAUAUUCAUCUUUUUUUAGCUUUUAGCUAUUCAGGUCGAAGUGAUUCAUCAUCUGUUUAACCAAGACAGAAUUAUUUUUCUUUUGGUGUGUGCAUUUUGGAUAUAAGGUUAAUUUAGGAUAUUGGUUUGCACGAAAUUUUCAUGUUGUUUUACGCUCUAAUCAGCCACUCAUACUUGGCUCAUAUAUUACAAAUUUAGUCUCCCAAAAUUUUCUCUCUGAGGUUGAUUUUUCUAUCUUUACGUGUACAUAUACUAUGGAUCAUCUAGAUAAGAAUUGUUUGGAUUCUAUGAGCUUCCUUGCUGGCACCCCUAUUGUGUAUUAUUUUGUUCCUUCAGGUAUACGAAUUGCUCGCAAUAAUGGGGUUUUUUGCCAGCGUCACAACUUCACUACUAGAGAGCAAGAGGAGCAGCCUCCUUCAUCUGUAGAGGCACGUUUAAGCUGUAUCAAAGCUUACCUUGAGACAAUGGAAACCCAAGUCUCCACGAUUCUCGACAUCUUGCAGAGUAGUCAUCCCUAACACUGACAACCACGUUAGAUAUACACGGGGAGUAUACUUGACCUUUCUCUUUAUUAUACUUUAAUUCUUAUACAAUAUGCUUGAAGACAAACAUAGGUUACGUAGAGGGGAUGUUGAAUUAGUAAGUGUGCGUGAUUGUUUCUCUUUACCAUGUGUUAAAUCUUAUGUUGGGAUUGUUUGCUAAUUUUUUUGUCAUUGAGCCUCUAAUUCCAAAGCUUAGUCAAUUUAGAUAGUUGGGUGGUUCUUGAAUUAAAGUGUUCAUUAUCUAGUUUAAUCGACAUGUGUUAUAAAGUUGAAAUAUUGUAAUUAGACUGUUUCAUGAAAAUUUAUUGGUUCUUUUGCUUGGUAAGAAUAUCUUUCUUAGUUGUUUUUUUUCCUUUCAAAAAAAAUUAAUAAAUUAAUAAAAAUACUCAUUGAUGGCUCAAGUUAUGAGUGAAAAUUUCAUAAAUGUGACUAAAUUUAGUAACUGGGAUGAGGUGCUUGCAUUGUCAUCUCAUCUAGCGUAAAAAGGUUUGAGUGACGAACUAAAAACUUGCAAACUCUCAGCUAACUGAGCCGCCAUGAGUAGGGCAAAAUGGUUCGUGUAGAGACAUUUCAAAUUGAGUAACCGGGGUAAAGUGCUUAGGUUGUCAUCUCACUUCACGUAAAAAGGUUUGGCUAUAUCCCAAAUUUACUGUAUAAUUGUUUGAGAAUAAAUACCUUACAAAUUUUGGUUCAAUUGCAAUUUAGUGAAGUGAUUUAAUUUACAUUUUUGAAUUCUAUGACACUUGUUGAUUAAACUGCAUAUUUGAACACUUAUUCAUUUGCCUAAAUUAUUUACAUUGAUCAUGGUUGCAAAAGAGAGGCUUGAUUUCUGAUAAAUUAUUGGACAAUUUCUAAUGUAGGAACAUACAAAAGCUUGAGGACAAGCAUAGGCUAAGUAGGGGGAUUAGAUAGCAUGUUUAUUUUGUAUAUUUUACAUGUUCAAAUCAAUUAAUUCUUGAAUUAAUUUCUUUUAAUUGGUAAUUUUAUGUUUCAAAUUUUUCAGGAACGAAAUUCAGAAUCCUUAAAUAAAAAAACAAGCAGAAAAAGACUGAUUAGAUAGCAAUCAAUAAAAGGGGUCGAAUUGGAAAUUUUGAGACAUUUAAGGGCUAAUCAGAUUUUUAACUUUGUAAAAGCCAUAUUUAGAAAAGAAAAAUCUAAUUUUGAUUUCAUGUAAUUAGUGGUUAGGUGGGUUAGCUAAUUUUAGUAUAUGGUUUAUGUAUAAAUAAGGGGUAUGAUGGACUUGAAAGGACACACUUGGCACUUGAAUUCACUUGAAAUUGAAAGAAAUUAUUUUUUCCCUUCUAGUUUCAUGUGUCAGUAAGCAUACUGCCAUUCCAUUUUCAUUUCCUUAUUCCUUGGCAAAAUUAUUUAAUUGCUUUCCAAGUCCCUUCCUUUUCGAACUUCCACAAUUUCCUUAAAAACCAUUUCCAUACACCAACUAAGCGCGAUUAAUUUCAUGCUCACUAAAAUUCUAACUUAGCUUUAGGCCGAUAUUCUUUCCGGUCAAAAAUCAUGAGAAAUGGAUCCACACUAAAAAUAUUUCAUAACGGUAUUCACCAUCUCUCCGGAAUAUUUGGAUUGUACAAAUUCAUCCCUUAAAGUUAACUCGAUUUCAACAUAAAGCGCGUGUUGGGUUGGAGUCGUUUUGGCGUACAGUUGAGAAGUCGAGUCAAUCGUGCUGUGUUCGGAUUCCCACGAACAAAUUGGCGUAUCCUAAUAGGGUCAUACUAGUGGGUUUCUCGUCAAGGGAGAUAGUGAUUGAAUUUAAAUGACCUACGCGGUUGAGGCCGUUGAUUCGAGUUGAGUUCUUCAGAACAUAAGGCUACUGAAGUCUUGAAUUGCGAACGUGUGUAUCGUGGUUAGACAAUUGGUAAGAGUUGAUUUAUAGGUCGUAUCAGAAUCAACUACGAAAAGAAGAAUUAGAGGUUGGGACAUUAACUAGCUUAUGGUUUGGAGGAGAAAACUCAUUUUCAAGGAUCGAUUCAAAAUUGGAAUUAACCGAGUCUAAGGCUAAGACUUUAUAUUAUUGCUUACGAUGUUCAACUCUAUUUACUUAUUUUAUUUUUGAUUAAUAUAAUUUCUAGAAUAUGAAUCCUUUAUUUUGACUGUCUGUCAAUUUACCCGUGAAUGCACAAAAUUUAUUCCCGGGACUGAGGAUAAACUCAAAUGCAUAUAACCCAAUUAGCUUUUUAAAUGAAUAAGCCGCUCUGAUUAAAACAAAUGAGUUGAUCUAUCAAUCGAAUAAUAGUAUUUCAGAAUAAUUCGUUCAUAAUCCCCUCACACCACCGUAUAGAUAGAACAAUACCUCAAAUAUCAAUAGUGCAAUCUGAGAUAAAAGAGAAAAACCAAAUGUAGUCCCAAUAAUAACCAGUGCAGUAAUACAAUUUCUAUAAUCUGAUAUCUAUAUCACCAUGCUCCUAUGAUUGAACCAGGAAUUAUAACCGUAGUAGAUGUAAUCACCUCUGGCUAAUGGAUAUCCUUUACAUAUGAAUCAUGUUUGAUAGAAUAGACCAUAAGAAUGAUAAGAAAAACAAGAUAAUGAAGUCUAAGAUGUAAAGCUUUACUGAAUUUCUGAGAAUACAACCCAUAUUGAAUGAUAAAGAGAUCAAUGAUACCCCAGAGAACAUCCAGAAGAAGAAUAUCACUCAUACGCACUGGAAUCAAUUGUGAUAGAGACAACAUAAUUUGCUUAUAUAUAAAGAAAAGCAACAACCAAUAGAAGUAGAAAAAUAACACCAUAUGAGUCUUAUUGUCGAGUAUUCUACCGAACAUAAUAGAAUAGAAUGCCAAAUAAAAAUAGAGCAACAUCGAUUAUUAACCAACCCAACUAACAAUACCUCCGUCUAACGUUAUGGUUAGCCAGCAUUCUCAUAUGAUAAAAAUCACAUCUGAAGAUAAACAAUUGUAAAUGUCUCUGAGGAUAAAAGUACAUAUAGAAUACCCAGAGGAGAUCGUUGUAAGAAACUCGACCAUAACAGUGCAUUCAGAUAUAUUUGCAGUUCAAACACUAUCCCACUAACUAGUAAAAUCAUCGAUGAUCUCACAUUAUCAUGUUUCACUUAAGAAAUCAGUUUAGAAGAAAUUAUGGUUAAUCUGUUCUUUAUAUACCAUACCUGAAUAAGUUGAUUAUCCGUGAAUAACUUCUUCUUUAACAGAAACCUUGCAUAUCCCAAAUGAUCUUCAGAAAAAUCUGAUAUCUCUUCUAAAAUUGUCUUGACUUGCUAACCAAUUCUUGACUUGGACCACAUUAUUACUAAUUCGAUCACUGAAUUCUUUAGCAUCACUUUUGCUGACUUAAUCAACAUAAACCUUGUAAAUUCCGUUGUAAAAGACUAUGCAGGUGAGUGGUGGAGAUCGUAAAGCCUCUAAAUUUGGCUCUCAUAUAUAUACACAUAACAUAACAUUCAUUAUUAACAUAACAUUAUAAAUAUUUAUUCAUACCUUUUAUGAGUUCUGACUCAUCAUAAGCAACUUUUUAAUCAAAUACUUGAGUAUCACUUUCAGCAUUAUCGGAAUUAGCUCAGUUCGAAAACAUCUCUGUUUAUAAGUAAAACAAAUCUCAUCAGAGUCAGGAGAUAUCACACUAUCACAAGUUAUAUAAUGAAAUGUAUUUUUAAACUUCAUACAUGCUACAUUUAGCCCGAGAACUGACUAAACCAUAGCUCUGAUACGACUAAAUGUAACACCCCUAACCCAUAUCCAUCGCCGGAACAAGGUUACAGAGCAUUAUCGAGAAAAUGGAACAAUAAACCAUUCAAUUCAUACAUCAAUAUAAUACAUAUUCUAAUUUCAUUCAAAUACAUUCAUAACAUCCCCUAAUCGAUCUCUUAAGGCCCUAAAAAUAUAAUAGAAAUAGUUCGGGACUAAAUCGGUAACAUUUAGAAAGUCUAGGAAAAAUUUAGAAAAAUUUAUACUGCAGGGGUCACACGGCCGUAUGACCAGGCCAUGUGGCUCACUCGGUCGUAUGAACAGGCCGUGUGGCUCACAUGGCUGAGACACACGUCCAUGUCUCAGGCCAUGUAACAUUCAAAAUAGGGACACACGGCUAUAUCUCAGCCUGUGCCCAUGCCUGUGUAACUCACUGACUUGGGUCACACAGCCAAGCCACACGCCCGUGUGCCAAGCCAUGUGCUAGACCGUGCAACUUUAGAAAAGUGACCAUUAACAACCAAUAGGGGCCACACGGCCGUGUCGCCUGACCAUGUGUGACACACGGCUGAGACACACCCCCGUGUCUUAGGCCGUGCGGACAAGAAAUUGGCCAAAAUUGUAAUAGCUCAUUUUUAUUGUUAUCAGAGCAGUGGUUUUGAGACCAUGAAUUUGAAAUUAAAAAUUUUUAUUAUUAUUUUAAUGUUUACAGCAUGUUAGUAGUGUCGUAUAAAAAUUUCGUGAAGAAAUUUGAUAGUUUUCAUGCUUAAUUUGAUAAAAGGACUAAAUCGCGUAAAGUGUAAAACUUGUGUGCUAUUAGUAAAAGGUGUUAAAUUGCUAUGGAAUUUAAAUAUGAGUGGCCUUAAAUGGUAAUUAGACCAUUGAUUGUUUAAGUGGACAAAUAUGGGCAUUAAAUUAAUUGAUUUGAAUGAUAAUUAAAAAGGUUAAAAGUGUAAAUUAAUAAAAUAAUUUAUAAUAAACUAAAGUCAAGAAAGAUGUCAUCUUUCUUCAUCUUCUUUAACAACUGAAACUAGGGCUUAAGGAAGCGAUAACCAAGCUUCAACAUUCGGCUAGUAAUAAAUCCCUUGCAUGUGAAUAUUUUUCAUCUCGUUUUUAAUAAUUUCUAUGUUUUUGAAGUCGUUAUAGCUUAAUCUAGCUAGCCCGGAGACUAAUUUGCAAAAAUUUUAAAAGUAUAGGGUUUUACCAUGAAUUUAUAUUUGUUUUUUUAUGUUUGAUAGAUGAAAAUGAAUAUUUGAUGAUAGUUGAGCAACUUUUGUAAAGGAAUUUCUGAUGAAUUUGUCUUUUAAGUAUUUAAUUGAAAAAUAGAAAAAUGUUCUUGGUAAAAAUGUGAAAUAAAUAAAACAUGGGGAUUGCUAGGGACUAAAUUAAUAUUUGGCUAGCAUGGAUGUGGACUAAAUUGCAUUAAUUUACAUUUUUAUGAGCCAGGGACUAAAUUGAAAUGAAUUCAAAAUUUUAGUGGCAAAAGCGUAAUUUUUCCAAAUUAUGAUUUUUGGAUUUAAUUGAGUAGAGUGAAAAUUGAAUGUGCUAAAUUUGAUUAUAUACGGAUUUAGAUCGGGGAAAAGAAAAAGUGUUGGAUUAAUCGAUCAUAUUUCUCUGUUCGUGUUUGAGGUAAGUUCGUUAAAUUUAAAUAGCAUUGAAUUAUGUUUGAAUUAAAAUGCUUUUGUGUUAUAUAUUUUGAUAUUAUGACUUUACGAAAAUAUCCAACGAAGUUUCGGCGACUUUCGAAUCCCAUUUGAACCUUAGGAAUAUAUAGGAUACAUAUGACAUGUCAUUAGGGGUUAUUGAGUUUCGGGUGUUGGUCUUAUACGUCCUAUCUGUAGCUGAUUUUUUGACAUGUGUUACGGUUACUUGACAGCUUGUGUGAGCAGCACCGUGUAGCUACGUCUUGGCUGGCGACUUUUGUAAGCAGACCCAUUUAUGGCUCGAGAGUGAGCAUUGAUACAAGAUACGAGAUAGUAGUGGUUUCGACUUCCCGCGUAUCCAAUAUUAUUCUAGUGGUUUAAUAGAUAAUCGAAAGCUCGUAUGGGUUGGAAGUUGUUAGGAAUUCCAUCACACUAUCCAUCAGUUACAUAGGUAUAUUUUGAAGAUUUUGAGUCAUGGUAUAAUGGCAUGUAUAGGUGUUUUGUUUAAUGAAUUUAGCCAUUAUUGGUGUGAUUGAUAAUUUAAUGUUGUGUUGGUUAAGUGAUGUUAAGGAAAUGUUGAUGGAAAUGAUAUGGUAGCAAUUAAUGGUUGGUGUGGAAUGAAUGUAGCAUGAUGUUGAUAAUG
Long non-coding RNA from Gossypium raimondii (Peruvian cotton), 7509 nucleotides. RefSeq lists it as uncharacterized. The record is from RefSeq and is a predicted model, not a curated record. NCBI's taxonomy places the organism in Eukaryota, Viridiplantae, Streptophyta, Magnoliopsida, Malvales, Malvaceae. The transcript has 4 exons.